CGCGUAGGCGGUCUGCUAAGCGUGUGGUGAAAGCUCGGGGCUCAACCCCGAGUCGGCCAUGCGAACUGGUGGACUUGAGCACUGUAGAGGCAGGUGGAAUUCCGGGUGUAGCGGUGGAAUGCGUAGAGAUCCGGAAGAACACCGGUGGCGAAGGCGGCCUGCUGGGCAGUUGCUGACGCUGAGGCGCGACAGCGUGGGGAGCAAACA
RNAcentral lists this ribosomal RNA (207 nucleotides) under uncultured bacterium. RNAcentral describes it as "partial 16S ribosomal RNA". It matches the Rfam family "Bacterial small subunit ribosomal RNA", at positions 568 to 774 of the family's 1533-position model. The record is from RNAcentral.